This 292-nucleotide ribosomal RNA is filed under the name uncultured bacterium. RNAcentral's name for it is "partial 16S ribosomal RNA". It matches the Rfam family "Bacterial small subunit ribosomal RNA", at positions 505 to 796 of the family's 1533-position model. The record is from RNAcentral.
GUGUCAGCCGCCGCGGUAAUACGGGGGGGGCAAGCGUUGUUCGGAAUUACUGGGCGUAAAGGGCUCGUAGGCGGCCACCUAAGUCCGACGUGAAAUCCCUCGGCUCAACCGAGGAACUGCGUCGGAUACUGAGUGGCUUGAAUCCAAGAGAGGGAUGCGGAAUUCCAGGUGUAGCGGUGAAAUGCGUAGAUAUCUGGAGGAACACCGGUGGCGAAGGCGGCAUCCUGGAUUGGUAUUGACGCUGAGGAGCGAAAGCCAGGGGAGCAAACGGGAUUAGAUACCCCUGUAGUCC